GGAUGGUGCUGGUGCGCACGGACGCCGGGCAGCUCGUGAUGGUGCCCCAGCAGGCUCUGGCACAGGCUCAGAUGCAGGCCCAGGUGCAGACACAGGGACAGGGUCCUGCCAACAUGUCACCCAGGCUUUCUGUGCCCACAGCUGGCCCCGUUUUUCGCCUGUCCACAGCUCAGCAGCCAACGUCCGUGGCCACCUCCAGCGUCCGCCUGGGCCUCCCGGUGCAAGCCAAGGUGGUGCCAUCCACGGCGGCGCCCGCCAGCGCCACAGCCACGCUGCCAGGAGGGGCUGUGCUCUCACACACCACGGUCAGGGGCUGGGCACGCUGCCUGGGCUUGGGCUGGGGCAGGGGAGGGAGAUUCAGGGUGGGUGCAUGGAGGAACUGUGCAUGGGCAGGCCCUGGCACAGUGCUCAGAGCAGCUGUGGCUGCCCCUGGAUCCCUGGCAGUGCCCAAGGCCAGGCUGGGAUGGGCUUGGAGCAGCCUGGGACAGUGGAACUGGAUGAGCUUGAAGUUCCUUUCCAACCCAAACCAUUGUAUGACUUUAUGA
Molecule: long non-coding RNA, 545 nt
Filed under: Lonchura striata (white-rumped munia)
Lineage: Eukaryota; Metazoa; Chordata; Aves; Passeriformes; Estrildidae
Description: domestica (Bengalese finch) lncRNA (ENSLSDG00000009473.1)
Source: RNAcentral